This 761-nucleotide ribosomal RNA is filed under the name uncultured bacterium. Its description in RNAcentral is "bacterial SSU rRNA". It matches the Rfam family "Bacterial small subunit ribosomal RNA", at positions 28 to 776 of the family's 1533-position model. The record is from RNAcentral.
GAUGAACGCUAGCGACAGGCCUAACACAUGCAAGUCGAGGGGUAACAUUAUUAAAGCUUGCUUUAAUAGAUGACGACCGGCGCACGGGUGCGUAACGCGUAUGCAACCUACCCAUUACAGGAGGAUAGCCCAGAGAAAUUUGGAUUAAUACUCCAUAGUAUUUACUGAAAGCAUUUUUAGUAUUUUAAAAGAUUCGUCUGGUAAUGGAUGGGCAUGCGUAUGAUUAGUUAGUUGGUAGGGUAACGGCCUACCAAGACGACGAUCAUUAGGGGUUCUGAGAGGAUAGUCCCCCACACUGGUACUGAGACACGGACCAGACUCCUACGGGAGGCAGCAGUGAGGAAUAUUGGUCAAUGGGCGAGAGCCUGAACCAGCCAAGUCGCGUGCAGGACGACUGCCCUAUGGGUUGUAAACUGCUUUUAUAUAGGAAUAAUUGUUUCUACGUGUAGGAAUUUGAAUGUACUAUAUGAAUAAGCACCGGCUAACUCCGUGCCAGCAGCCGCGGUAAUACGGAGGGUGCAAGCGUUAUCCGGAUUUAUUGGGUUUAAAGGGUGCGUAGGCGGGUUCAUAAGUCAGUGGUGAAAGUCUGUCGCUUAACGAUAGAAUUGCCAUUGAAACUGUGGAUCUUGAAUACAGUAGAGGUAGGCGGAAUAUAUUGUGUAGCGGUGAAAUGCAUAGAUACGAUAUAGAACACCUAUUGCGAAGGCAGCUUACUAUGCUGUAAUUGACGCUGAUGCACGAAAGCGUGGGGAGCGAACAGG